GCCCACAAGUCCCCUCAAAACCCCAGAACAACACAGUGCUCAUUAUCGAUUUUAGACAAAAAUCCCAAAAUCCCCACAAAAUCCAGACUCAAGUUUCUUCGUAUGAAAAAUAUAGGGCAAAAAAAACCAUCGUUAACCGGUAAAUCAUUCAAUAUCGACUUUGGUGUUUCGAAUUGAUUAUUAUUCUUCCUUUGCAGACUAUUUCUUGAAGCUUGUUGCUUUAGUUUGCAUCAUUAACGAUUUCCAAGUCACGACAUGGAUCUGUAAUACUGAGGUUUUUGGAAUACUUUGGAUAGACUCGGGCAUCAAUGCACUCUAGGUGUUCGUGUAAAUGUUGAAAUCAAGAGCAAUAAUUCCAGUGUCAUCCAAAGUCCUACAAAGAUCAUUGAAUUUAAUGGAGAUGGAAGUGGUCCUUACCAAUAGAUAUUUCAAUACUGGGUCAUUUUCUUUUUGUCUUUAUUUCCAUGUAGCUUCCUCUUAUUAGAAGUGGUGAUUGUUUUUAAUCACACACUUAGAAGCUUUCAAUUUAGUUUGUCUUCUUGAAAAAUUAUCAAAUCACAGUUAUGGUAGCUAUGAUGUUCAUGGCAUGAUCACUUUGAAGCUUUCGGUCUAGUGGUCCUUCUUGGCGUGUUCAUGACUACCGAUGUUUACCAGGUGCAUGUCAUCGAGCAGACCAACUAGUUCAAAAAGAUGUACAACUUAAUCCUAUGUGACAUGAUAUAUAGCUUGCAAAAAAUGGUCAUUCCCUACAGAUGGGGGAUAUUCCUUCAGAAGUUCACUUAGAUUUUGUUAUUA
Olea europaea var. sylvestris is the source of this 795-nucleotide long non-coding RNA. RefSeq lists it as uncharacterized. The record is from RefSeq and is a predicted model, not a curated record. NCBI's taxonomy places the organism in Eukaryota, Viridiplantae, Streptophyta, Magnoliopsida, Lamiales, Oleaceae. The transcript has 2 exons.